AGAGUUUGAUCAUGGCUCAGGACAAACGCUGGCGGCGUGCUUAAUACAUGCAAGUCGAACGGUCCUACUUCGGUAGGAUAGUGGCGGACGGGUGAGUAACACGUAGGUAACCUGCCCUAUUGUGGGGAAUAACAGCUCGAAAGAGUUGCUAAUACCGCAUAAGCUCUAUUCCGUGGGGAGUAGAGGAAACGCUUCUUUCGGGGAGUGGCGAUAGGAGGGGCCUGCGGCGGAUUAGCUAGAUGGUGGGGUAAAGGCCUACCAUGGCGACGAUCCGUAGCUGGUCUGAGAGGACGGCCAGCCACACUGGGACUGAGACACGGCCCCGACUCCUACGGGAGGCAGCAGCAAGGAAUCUUCCGCAAUGGGCGCAAGCCUGACGGAGCAACGCCGCGUGCGGGAUGACGCCUUUCGGGGUGUAAACCGCUUUUCGGGGGGAAGAAGGUUGGUCCGCAAGGAUCGACUUGACGGUACCCCCGGAAGAAGGACCGGCUAACUACGUGCCAGCAGCCGCGGUAAUACGUAGGGUCCGAGCGUUGUCCGGAGUUACUGGGCGUAAAGGGCACGCAGGCGGCGGCACUGGCCCGGCGUGAAAGCCCCCGGCUCAACCGGGGAGGGUCGUCGGGGACCGUGCCGCUUGAGGGCAGCAGGGGGUGGUGGAAUGCCCGGUGUAGUGGUGAAAUGCGGAGAGAUCGGGCGGAACACCCGUGGCGAAGGCGGCCACCUGGGCUGCACCUGACGCUGAGGUGCGAAGGCGUGGGGAGCGAACGGGAUUAGAUACCCCCGUAGUCC
RNAcentral lists this ribosomal RNA (789 nucleotides) under uncultured Sphaerobacter sp. RNAcentral's name for it is "bacterial SSU rRNA". It matches the Rfam family "Bacterial small subunit ribosomal RNA", at positions 8 to 796 of the family's 1533-position model. The record is from RNAcentral. Lineage: Bacteria; Pseudomonadati; Thermomicrobiota; Thermomicrobia; Sphaerobacterales; Sphaerobacteraceae.